This 85-nucleotide non-coding RNA is filed under the name uncultured bacterium. RNAcentral describes it as "sRNA-Xcc1". It matches the Rfam family "sRNA-Xcc1". The record is from Rfam by way of RNAcentral.
CCGGUUAGCGCGCAGCUAUACAACACCCUUUGGGGGAAAUCUGCGGGCGGUCCUGACACCGUGUUCAAGUACCGGGCCGCCCUCU